CCUACGGGAGGCAGCAGUGGGGAAUAUUGCACAAUGGGCGAAACCCUGAUGCAGCGACGCCGCGUGAGUGAAGAAGUAACUCGUUACGUAAAGCUCUAUCAGCAGGGAAGCAAAUGACGGUACCUGAGUAAGAAGCCCCGGGCAACUACGUGCCAGCAGCCGCGGGAAUACGUCGGGCGCACGCGUUAUCCGGAUUUACUGGGUGUAAAGGGAGCGUAGGUGGCAGUGCAAGUCUGGAGUGAAAGGCGGGGGGUCAACCCCCGGACUGCUGUGGAAACUGGACGGCUGGAGUGCAGGAGAGGUAAGUGGAAUUCCUAGUGUAGCGGUGAAAUGCGUAGAUAUUGGGAAGAACACCAAUGGCGAAGGCAGCAUACUGGACUGUAACUGACGUUGAGGCACGAAAGCGUGGGUAGCGAACAGGAUUAGAUACCCUAGUAGUC
This 440-nucleotide ribosomal RNA is filed under the name uncultured bacterium. RNAcentral's name for it is "partial 16S ribosomal RNA". It matches the Rfam family "Bacterial small subunit ribosomal RNA", at positions 338 to 795 of the family's 1533-position model. The record is from RNAcentral.